Molecule: ribosomal RNA, 468 nt
Filed under: uncultured bacterium
Lineage: Bacteria
Description: partial 16S ribosomal RNA
Rfam family: Bacterial small subunit ribosomal RNA
Source: RNAcentral
GACGAACGCUGGCGGCGUGCUUAACACAUGCAAGUCGAACGGAAAGGCCCUGCUUUUGUGGGGUGCUCGAGUGGCGAACGGGUGAGUAACACGUGAGUAACCUGCCCUUGACUUUGGGAUAACUUCAGGAAACUGGGGCUAAUACCGGAUAGGAGCUCCUGCUGCAUGGUGUGGGUUGGAAAGUUUCGGCGGUUGGGGAUGGACUCGCGGCUUAUCAGCUUGGUGGUGGGGUAGUGGCUUACCAAGGCUUUGACGGGUAGCCGGCCUGAGAGGGUGACUGGCCACAUUGGGACUGGGAUACGACCCAGACUCCUACGGGAGGAAGCAGUGGGGAAUAUUGCAAGAUGGGCGGAAGCCUGAUGCAGCAACGCCGCGUGCGGGAUGACGGCCUUCGGGUUGUAAACCGCUUUCGCCUGUGACGAAGCGUGAGUGACGGUAAUGGGUAAAGAAGCACCGGCUAACUACGUG